CGCUCGCCGGAUUCCAGUAUCCUGUUUUGGAUACGUGAUAUAGUGAGAUAACUUUCAGAGAUCACAGGUAAUCAUUGGAAAAUUGGAAAAUUGUUCGAAAUUUCAUUAGGUUGGAAUUGAACUCGUGAAUUGUGGUUGAUUUCGUGAUAUGGUUUGGUCAGGAUUCAUAUAAAAAGAACGAAGUUUCUACGAGUUGGUUUUGACUCGAGUACAAAUCAAGAUCGGGACUCUUAAAUCUCUGAAGAAUGGGAACGAGAAUUUCUUUCGGACCGCCUCAAAGUGUAGAGGCAAGCAUGGUACAAGGUGGCGCCACCUUGGCGGCAGUGGCCAACUUAACAACCAUGUAAAAAGCGACGAAAUCGAGAGUGUCGGUGGGUCUGGCGAAGAGACACGAUCAAAGAGGAAAGAGAGAACAGCCUAUAAAACAAUUGACGCUCCCGCGGUAUCAAGAAGUAUCCGUUAAACCUGUUUUCUACUUCUUCUCCUAACCCAUCGAAAUCUACUUUGAUCAAGAUAUAUAUUGCCUUCAGAAGUGAAUGAAAUAACCUUCUUUUGCUCGCGACAUAACCUUUCUCUCUCUUCUCGGAAAAUAAUAAAAUAGCGAGAUCAAGUGAUCAUUGUGAAUCGAAGGAAAAUGGAAAAUACGCUUAUUGGACGAAAUAACAGGGAUAAAGGUAACCGCAAUGGCGAAUGUAUGCGUGUCGUUACAAAGGAAUCGUCCUUCGAUCGAGACGAAUAAACUCGACUCGUUGCGAUCUCUCCGGUGAUUCAGAGUGGCGAGCACAAUCGCGUGGAGCAAUUUUUGCAGAAGAUUUGACGGUUCUCCUCCCUUUUCCGUGCUGGCGCGUCCUUAUUCUUCUAAAUUGUUCCCAUUCGAGAACGAGCUCGUCCCUGAAACGCUCGUUCGCG
Long non-coding RNA from Apis laboriosa (Himalayan honeybee), 909 nucleotides. RefSeq lists it as uncharacterized. The transcript is spliced from 3 exons. NCBI's taxonomy places the organism in Eukaryota, Metazoa, Arthropoda, Insecta, Hymenoptera, Apidae. The record is from RefSeq and is a predicted model, not a curated record.